GAUGAACGCUAGCGGGAGGCUUAACACAUGCAAGUCGAGGGAUAGCGGUAGCAAUAUCGCGAAAACCGGCGCACGGGUGAGUAACGCGUAUGCAACCUGCCCUCUACCGGGGGAUAGCCCGUCGAAAGGCGGAUUAAUACCCCAUAAUACUGUAAUCCUGCAUGGGAUAUCAGUUAAAGCUUAGGUGGUAAAGGAUGGGCAUGCGUGACAUUAGCUAGUUGGUAGGGUAACGGCCUACCAAGGCUACGAUGUCUAGGGGUUCUGAGAGGAAGGUCCCCCCACACUGGUACUGAGACACGGACCAGACUCCUACGGGAGGCAG
This 322-nucleotide ribosomal RNA is filed under the name uncultured Bacteroidota bacterium. Its description in RNAcentral is "bacterial SSU rRNA". It matches the Rfam family "Bacterial small subunit ribosomal RNA", at positions 28 to 351 of the family's 1533-position model. The record is from RNAcentral. Lineage: Bacteria; Pseudomonadati; Bacteroidota.